RNAcentral lists this ribosomal RNA (460 nucleotides) under uncultured bacterium. RNAcentral describes it as "partial 16S ribosomal RNA". It matches the Rfam family "Bacterial small subunit ribosomal RNA", at positions 338 to 795 of the family's 1533-position model. The record is from RNAcentral.
CCUACGGGCGGCAGCAGUGAGGAAUAUUGGUCAAUGGGCGCGAGCCUGAACCAGCCAAGUAGCGUGAAGGAUGACUGCCCUACGGGUUGUAAACUUCUUUUAUAAAGGAAUAAAGUGAGGCACGUGUGCCUUUUUGCAUGUACCUUAUGAAUAAGGAUCGGCUAACUCCGUGCCAGCAGCCGCGGUAAUACGGAGGAUCCGAGCGUUAUCCGGAUUUAUUGGGUUUAAAGGGAGCGUAGAUGGGUUGUUAAGUCAGUUGUGAAAGUUUGGGGCUCAACCCUGAAAUUGCAGUUGAUACUGGCAGUCUUGAGUACAGGUGAGGUAGGCGGAAUGCGUGGUGUAGCGGUGAAAUGCUUAGAUAUCACGAAGAACUCCGAUUGCGAAGGCAGCUUACUAAACUGCCACUGACGUUGAUGCUCGAAAGUGUGGGUAUCGAACAGGAUUAGAUACCCGGGUAGUC